GCUAAAUAAUAUUCGUUUACAUUUUUAUGUAAUUUCCUAGAUUUUAAUAAAACAAAACCACAAAAAUUCUAUUAAUUUCAGUGUAACAACUCUCCUGUCAUGCAGCCUCCUAUCAAGCAACCCUGAACAUUCAGCAUUGCAGCACAGACUUCUACUGCUUGAGGUCCCAGGAAGGGAGAGACUUUAAAAUGACCUGGGCAAAUAGCUAAGUCACGAGAAGAGAAAGAGACUGCUUCAGGGACAGAGGAGCUGUCAGCAGGGGACACUAGAUGAUUGCGACACCAGGCCUGAUCAUUAGGCUCCCCCAGGUUGCCCCCUGGAGCACAUCUCACACCUGGAACUAACAUCAUCAAUCACUGUAAGGAGAGGGAUCACUUAAGGGCACCCAGAGGAUAACUUUAGUUUUGCCCUGAGGCUGUUCUUAUAUGUACUCAGUUAGAGAGAGCAAAGAAGAAUUCUGCUGGCCCGCAAAGUGUGGUGAACUACAUUAACUGUGAGAGGAACUCCAGGGAAUGGUGCCUGAGAGUCAGCUCUUUGUGACAGCUGGAAGGACUUAGAGGGGGUGAGAGCUGAGCCCCGAAGGUGGGGCUGAAGAAUAGCCUGAGAGUGGCAGAAACAUGGUUCAUUGUUUUGGAUGUUUUGUUUGGUUAUUUAAUUGGACUUUUGUUGUCCCGGAAGGGGACUGAACUUUACAUGUGACCUGGUGGGAGGGCUGAGUCACCCAGAAGACUGUUGCAGAACAAGAUUGGCCAACAAAAGAGGGUGCUAGAGCAGAAAAACCUCUACAAUGCCACAUCCUGGCAUGAGAGGGGGGAUUCUCUGACAGUGAACUUCCACCCUAUCCCAACAACGCUCCACCUUUAUUAAACUGCACUCAAACCAUUGUCAUUUGUUUAAUGGUGUUUUCUUGUGUGUGUGUGUGUCUGUGUCUGUGUAGGAUACGUAGCAACAUUUUGAAGUGCUUCUUCACCUUACAUAUUAUAGGACUCUGAGUUUUGUGCCAUAUCUUUUCCAAAAUAGAUAUC
This is a long non-coding RNA of Chelonia mydas (Green sea turtle), 1025 nucleotides long. RefSeq lists it as uncharacterized. The record is from RefSeq and is a predicted model, not a curated record. The transcript is spliced from 4 exons. Lineage: Eukaryota; Metazoa; Chordata; Testudines; Cheloniidae.